Molecule: long non-coding RNA, 807 nt
Filed under: Cricetulus griseus (Chinese hamster)
Lineage: Eukaryota; Metazoa; Chordata; Mammalia; Rodentia; Cricetidae
Description: lncRNA (ENSCGRG00015031057.1)
Source: RNAcentral
UUCUAGGGGUCAGAGAUUCUGAGACCCUGCUGCCAGCAUGUUCAGAAGAAAUGAACAAUGAAAGCUUGUUGUUUCUCCAAAUUGACCACCUGUUACUUUAUCAUCUCAUGGAAGAAGUGGCUAGGUCUCCAUCAAGUCUCUGCUACAAAGAAUCAGAAGAGGAUGGAACUAGAAGCAAGAAGCAAACACUCCUGGUCAAGCAAUAGCACUUUAGUAUCCUGCUAUCAUACACAUGUACAUGUGUGAGCACAGUGAUUUGAUGUCAUUGACAUGGAGCCAAGAAAACGCCUGUGUAAAGAAAUAACCAUUGACCAGCCCUACACGUCCGCUGCCUUUGUAUUUUCAUUCACUGGUCCUUUAGCAGACCCCAGAGACUCUUUGCCUUCCCAAGGACACAGCAAACUUUGGGGACAGUGAUAUUGAGAAGACAGGACUGAGAGUUUUAUAAUCCCAUUCCCUCUUUUGCUGGAACAAGUCACCCUGGAGGGAAGGUCUCAGUGAAAAAUCUCAUCUGAGUUGCCUGAGGUUGGUAGCCUGAAAUUGAUAAUGGUGGGAAUGUUUAUACCAUGGAAAUCAGAAGAAGCUCCCAAAGACAGAAGAGUUCCUUGGAGACCAGCUUGGUCAAGGUCACCAGCAUCCAGCCACUCUGACUCAGAGGGAAAUGAAACUCAUACCCCAGAGAGAACAGGCAUGGGUGUGAACAGAGACAGUGUGGCUUGGAAUUUAUGAGUUUUUCUCUUAGGUCAUAAAGAAAGUUGCCACCACCCUGAAGAUCCAUCUUCCUAUUGAAAAAAAAGGAAACAGGGC